Erythranthe guttata (spotted monkey flower) is the source of this 366-nucleotide long non-coding RNA. RefSeq lists it as uncharacterized. NCBI's taxonomy places the organism in Eukaryota, Viridiplantae, Streptophyta, Magnoliopsida, Lamiales, Phrymaceae. The record is from RefSeq and is a predicted model, not a curated record.
UUUUCUCUUGAUUAAUAUACUAGGAUCUUUCUUAUCUUCUUAUAUCCGAUCUGGGGUUGUUCUGUAAUAUUGAAAAAAAAAACAUGAUAUUUGAGGUUUUCUUGGCUGGUUUUAUUUCAAUUAUGGCUUGGUUGCUUGGUGGCGAUUUCUCGGGCCCACUUCUUCUUGGAUGUUGUUUUGAAUUCUUGAAUUAUUAGACUUUCUGUAUUGCAGGAGGUAAAACUGCAGAUUGCUCAAUGGAAAAUAAAUAACUAUGAUUAUUAUAAUUAUUUUAGUGACUUCGAAACCUCGGGUAUUUCUGUAUGUAAAAACGCCGAAAACUGAAUUAUCUUGUUUGAAUAACAAGACUUGUUGAUCGAGGAUUAA